This is a long non-coding RNA of Zingiber officinale, 253 nucleotides long. RefSeq lists it as uncharacterized. NCBI's taxonomy places the organism in Eukaryota, Viridiplantae, Streptophyta, Magnoliopsida, Zingiberales, Zingiberaceae. The transcript is spliced from 3 exons. The record is from RefSeq and is a predicted model, not a curated record.
UACUCUUGGUGUUUCCCUUGGUUCAGCAACCCAGAUCUCCAUGUUUGUUGUUCCAUUAUGUGUUAUGGUGGCUUGGAUAACGGGAAUCAAGAUGGAUCUUGAUCUUAAUCUGUUAGAAGCUGGCUCAUUGAUCAUGGCAAUACUAGUAAUAGCAUUCACGUUAUAGGAUGGAACUUCACAUUACUUAAAGGGGCUUGUUCCCUUGCUGUGCUACUUGGCAAUUGGUGCAUGCUUCUUUGUUUUCAAAUCCCCA